ACGGAAGGCAGCAGUGGGGAAUAUUGCACAAUGGGCGCAAGCCUGAUGCAGCGACGCCGCGUGAAGGAUGAAGGUCUUCGGAUCGUAAACUUCUGUCCUUGGGGAAGAUAAUGACGGUACCCUUGGAGGAAGCCCCGGCUAACUACGUGCCAGCAGCCGCGGUAAUACGUAGGGGGCAAGCGUUAUCCGGAAUUAUUGGGCGUAAAGAGUGCGUAGGUGGUUACCUAAGCAAGGGGUUUAAGGCAAUGGCUCAACCAUUGUUCGCCCCUUGAACUGGGCUACUUGAGUGCAGGAGAGGAAAGCGGAAUUCCUAGUGUAGCGGUGAAAUGCGUAGAUAUUAGGAGGAACACCAGUGGCGAAGGCGGCUUUCUGAACUGUUACUGACACUGAGGCACGAAAGUGUGGGGAGCAAACAGGAUUAGAUACCCUGGUA
RNAcentral lists this ribosomal RNA (433 nucleotides) under uncultured Anaerovorax sp. RNAcentral describes it as "partial 16S ribosomal RNA". It matches the Rfam family "Bacterial small subunit ribosomal RNA", at positions 341 to 792 of the family's 1533-position model. The record is from RNAcentral. Lineage: Bacteria; Bacillati; Bacillota; Clostridia; Peptostreptococcales; Anaerovoracaceae.